UCUGGGUAAACGCUGCAUUCUUUGUAAUGUAGAGGAAAGUCCAUGCUCACACAGACCUAUUUUUUAGGCUUGUAGUGUUCGUGUAUAGGGAAAAAAUAACCUAUAGUAGUUAAUUCUAACGGCGGCGAAGUAACCUAAGUCUUUGAUAUGGUUAUUGUAGCCAUAAAGUGCCAUAGUGACGAAUAAUCAGAAAUGAGGAAAUGGAACGGGUAAACCCCACGAGUGAGAAACCCAAAUAUUGGUAGGGGAACUUUCUAAUAGGUAACUAGAGGAAAGAUGCAUUAUGCAUAGAUAAAUGUUUACCGCUUGCAAAAGUACAGAACAUGGCUUAUAA
This 334-nucleotide RNase P RNA is filed under the name human gut metagenome. Its description in RNAcentral is "Bacterial RNase P class B". It matches the Rfam family "Bacterial RNase P class B". From Rfam's summary of the family: Ribonuclease P (RNase P) is a ubiquitous endoribonuclease, found in archaea, bacteria and eukarya as well as chloroplasts and mitochondria. Its best characterised activity is the generation of mature 5'-ends of tRNAs by cleaving the 5'-leader elements of precursor-tRNAs. RNAcentral also lists the same sequence under 1 other name. The record is from RNAcentral.